GAAUAUUGGACAAUGGGCGAAAGCCUGAUCCAGCAAUGCCGCGUGAGCGAUGAAGGCCUUAGGGUUGUAAAGCUCUUUUACCAGGGAUGAUAAUGACAGUACCUGGAGAAUAAGCUCCGGCUAACUCCGUGCCAGCAGCCGCGGUAAUACGGAGGGAGCUAGCGUUGUUCGGAAUUACUGGGCGUAAAGCGUACGUAGGCGGUUACUCAAGUCAGAGGUGAAAGCCCGGGGCUCAACCCCGGAACUGCCUUUGAAACUAGGUAGCUAGAAUCUGGGAGAGGUCAGUGGAAUUCCGAGUGUAGAGGUGAAAUUCGUAGAUAUUCGGAAGAACACCAGUGGCGAAGGCGACUGACUGGACAAGUAUUGACGCUGAGGUACGAAAGCGUGGGGAGCAAACAG
This 399-nucleotide ribosomal RNA is filed under the name uncultured bacterium. RNAcentral's name for it is "bacterial SSU rRNA". It matches the Rfam family "Bacterial small subunit ribosomal RNA", at positions 359 to 775 of the family's 1533-position model. The record is from RNAcentral.